AGGGCCUUAGCUUAAUAAAAGCACCUGAUUUGCAGUCAGGAGAUGUGGGUUAAUAUCUUGCAGGUCCUA
RNAcentral lists this transfer RNA (69 nucleotides) under Pethia ticto (Ticto barb). RNAcentral describes it as "tRNA-Ala". It matches the Rfam family "tRNA". From Rfam's summary of the family: Transfer RNA (tRNA) molecules are approximately 80 nucleotides in length. Their secondary structure includes four short double-helical elements and three loops (D, anti-codon, and T loops). Further hydrogen bonds mediate the characteristic L-shaped molecular structure. tRNAs have two regions of fundamental functional importance: the anti-codon, which is responsible for specific mRNA codon recognition, and the 3' end, to which the tRNAs corresponding amino acid is attached (by aminoacyl-tRNA synthetases). tRNAs cope with the degeneracy of the genetic code in two manners: having more than one tRNA (with a specific anti-codon) for a particular amino acid; and 'wobble' base-pairing, i.e. permitting non-standard base-pairing at the 3rd anti-codon position. The record is from RNAcentral. Lineage: Eukaryota; Metazoa; Chordata; Actinopteri; Cypriniformes; Cyprinidae. RNAcentral also lists the same sequence under 1 other name.